AACCCAUCUACCCGCACGACCCACGACCCCCAAUCCCAUCGGCACCUCCAGCGCACCGCCGCCCCCUACCACGCUGUCGCACGCCGCCUCGCCGUCACGCCGCCGGACUCCUCCUCGCUGUCGCACCGCCGGAACCCACCCCAUCGUCGCAAAAGGGUGGCUCUGGAGCACGAGCCAGCACAGACGAGGCCGGGACCAGAAGCAGAAUGCGAAAGCUGGGGCGUCGCACGACACCAUGCGGCGUUCGUGUCCCUCACAGUCGCCUCGCUCCUCCAUGGCCUGCCUGCGAGAGCCCAUGCUGGAGGAUGACCCUUACCAUGACGCAGAGUCUAGCCGACGGGAUCCGACAUGGUAGUCUUCUCCAAGGAGCGGUGGUCGAUGCCGACGAGCAGAGGCCCAUGGUCACGAGUCCUCCUCCGAUUGCUAUCCUCCACAUCCCUGAUGAAUAGGAUACAGAGAAGCACAGUGCAUUCUUCCUCCCUUAUGCCUAUGCGUAUUAUGAAUAGAUGAUGUGAUUGCUUUGUUAUUUCAUUCAAUUAAUGGCAAAAUUGAUGAGGUAAUUGGAAGAAUCGAGCAGCAAUUUUAUUACAGAACUCGCCAUUGAUUUGGUCAUCUCUGUCACUAGCAAGUUGCAUAAGAAAGAUUGUGGCGUUGCAGAGGCGUGAAUGAAAAAGUUAGUCUGGGGGACAGUUAUAGUGAUCCCUCAAUUAUAGAGCGGAUCCAGAUGAAAUUUCCUGUGCAUAGAAAGUCAUAUUACUCUAAUUUGGAGCAUCAACUACUCAGUCCUUGAAACAAAGAAAUGGUGUGAUGACAAGGGCUGAUUGUUGUUUAAUCUCAGUUGAAUCAUCUUUCUUGAUAGGUAGUCUAAGACAAAUUACCCUAUUGCCUGGAGGUAAAGCAGUCUACUAUGGCUUGACCAAAGCAGAGUGGCCUUACAGUUUCAGCUCGCACCAUGGUUCUUGGGAAGCACUGGGGAGACAGCAAGCUGACAUAGUGCCAUUAAGAUUUCUUUUUAUCAGUUUGUAAUCUAUGUCUUCGGAUCAUUUUGUUUUUACAUGAAAAUCAUAUACAUAGCAGUAAAGUUUAUAGUUAAAGCAUAAUUUUGAUGCAAGUCUAUGGUAGCCAUCGUCAUUCAGCCAACGAAGAGCUACACUACCUGAAGCCGCUCGAUUGAUAACAUAUAUGAUCAAAUUCAUUGCCUAGCUGCACUAGCAUGGCCUUAGCGACGGCGCUGGAGCUACCACUGCUUGCGCCUCUCGCCAUGCCAGCCGUGAUGUUCUACAUGCUGAUCAACGUGAUGUUGUCAACCAUCCAGAUUUUCUACAGUUAGCUCAGCAACUUCCACGCCCCACCGCCUUUCUUGUCAGCCACGACACCCAGGUUUUCGUCUAUGCCUCAUUGGAUGCAUUUACAUCGUAUAUAAUGUUAGAUAUACACAAUCAUAGGUACAUAUAGGAUCUUCCACCUCGGCUCAUGUACUGAUAUGAUUUGUGUUGAUACAUGAUUCUCAACAAACUAUACUACCAAACUUUUUCACGAAAUGUGUAGUACCAGUUGGUGUGAUAUCAUGUCCUCAGCAAUGCCCUCUAUGGAACGACCAUGACCAUGUUGUUGCCUGGACUCCUUUUUCAUGAUGAUGUCGCUCUUCGUCAUCCCAUAGUUUAUGCGGUGGAGCGUCAAAGACCUCAGCGUGUUAUAGGAGAAGACCAUGAAGAUCAGCAAGAAAGAUGUUGAUCAAGGAAGGUUCGACACUGUGAUGUGAGUUGAAACACAAGCAUGGCCUGCAAUCGACGCCCACCAUACUUGUGCCUCACAAGCAGCAAUUUUUCACAUUCUUGAUGAUAUUUGUCGGUGCCCUCUUCUCAUCUAUCCCGACAAUCUCGGUAUCCAGGCAAGAUUUCAGACGAUAACCUGAAUGUAGGCAUUGAACACAACAAGGUCAGGAUAUGAUAAUGGCCCAAGGUCGUGCCGACAAAUCUGAAAAUACUGUGGAACAAAAUAAUAAUCUGGCAAUGUCCCAAGAGAGCUGUUUGUUCUUGGAUUUUUAUACCCUCAUGUUAAUACUUAGCUGCUACAAUUUUUAUUGUUCUUCUCAUUAUAUGUACCUAAUAAUGAUUUAGUUCAUUUCUGGAUUAUUGGACUAAAUUACG
This is a long non-coding RNA of Triticum dicoccoides, 2150 nucleotides long. RefSeq lists it as uncharacterized. The record is from RefSeq and is a predicted model, not a curated record. The transcript has 4 exons. Lineage: Eukaryota; Viridiplantae; Streptophyta; Magnoliopsida; Poales; Poaceae.